Bombus huntii is the source of this 1580-nucleotide long non-coding RNA. RefSeq lists it as uncharacterized. The record is from RefSeq and is a predicted model, not a curated record. NCBI's taxonomy places the organism in Eukaryota, Metazoa, Arthropoda, Insecta, Hymenoptera, Apidae. The transcript is spliced from 3 exons.
CGACGCUGGAAUGCCUGAGGAAGACUGCGCUUCUUCCUGCUCCUCUACAUGGCGCUACGCGGGACUCGCUUCUGAGCACGUCUUUCUCGUUGGAGCGAAUUUUGUCUUUCUGACGCGGGAUUAGGUUCCUGGACUUAGGGAGUUGCUACACGCCAGCUCCACCAUGGCGACGGCAUUCACUAGGCAGCCUACAUAGCCACCUUUCAGCUCACGCUUCGGGAUACUUUUUUCGCUGAGAUUCUCCGCGAUAAGGCAUGAAAGCAGAGACCACCGUCUGCGGAGGCAUGAUUAUUCUAUUGUUCCUUUUAACGAGUAAUCGUUUUACUCGAGUCCUCUUACUAAACCGUAAGUACAAAAGACUAUUAUACUUAGAUAGGUACUUGGUCUCAAGAACCAACUUAUUUUGGUCUUUCGAUUAAGUUCUUAAUUAAAUGCUCAAUUAGAUAUUCAUAAAUAUAUCUUCAUAAUAUUUCCCUCAUCUAUUUCUUUGACAUUCUAGCAACCUCGUUAAGACGUCCGCCACUUCAACUUCUAUCUACAAGUGGCAAAAACUGAAGCUGACCUUCUUCAUGGAGAAACAUGCCGGAAAUGGCAUCCGCACGUGUAAAUAAUUAUACUCAGUGUCCAGGUAGUUUUUUCGAUCAUCCGAUAGAAGUCGUUUCUGUUUUUCAGAGUUCGUUCACGCCUCCAGAAUGUAAAAAUAUCCAAGGAAGUACCAUUAGGAAGCAAUGAAAUUCAGAGCUUCUGUGGUUAUUCCUUUUUCUGAUUGUUUCUUUUCUUUGCCCAAAAUGGAUGAUUUCUAUAUCAAAUUGUUUAUUUGUAUUUUUUUUUAAUAUUCCUUGAGAUUUUCAAUCAACUCGAUUUCGAAUUUUUUUACCACCCGAUCUUCUGGUUGACGUCGUUAAGAAAGAGGAACGAGUGCACAGGAAGCAUGGUCGGCGUGAGCAUGAUUAGAUCCGGUCUGCCCGAUGACCUUGCCAGUGAUAAUAGCGGUUCGUUAAGGUGGUUGCAGUCUUGGUUUGCUUCUGUUUCGAUUUCCAGCGAACUCGUCAGCCGGCAUGGCUUCCGAGAUGCUCCCCCUGAAACAAGUCGAAGGGAAAUAAUUAAUGGACUCUCUGUUCGAUUAUGGAACCAAAGAUUCUUAUCUGGUUUAUGGUGAGCUAAGGAACUCUUUGAAAACAGCAUUUAUAACUUUCGAAAAAGAGACAGGUAUUUCUUGCGCGAACAAUUGAAUAAUUAAUUCGUUCUCUAAAUAUCCUUAUCUGUUGUUCCUAAAAUACAUAAUGAUUGGAAGCUUCUUACGGGAAGCGCAAUCAGCCGCUGAUAUCAUUGAAGUCGAAACGCCAUUAAAACCAUAUUACGAUUCGCAUGCGACAUGCUCCAUUCAUGAAAACACAAAAGCAAUAAACAAGUACAAAUCAACGAAAUAAAUCCUCCGAGAACGAGACGUUACAGGAAUUAUACCAUUGCGAGGAUACAAAAGACUUGCUCAUGAGCUACUUCCUUCAAGUAGUCGAGCGGUGUAUUUUCCGGUCGUUAACUUCCAUAUAAUGGGAUAUUAAAGAGUACGGAUACAACGC